RNAcentral lists this ribosomal RNA (453 nucleotides) under Staphylococcus aureus. RNAcentral's name for it is "partial 23S ribosomal RNA". It matches the Rfam family "Bacterial large subunit ribosomal RNA", at positions 989 to 1447 of the family's 2925-position model. The record is from RNAcentral. Lineage: Bacteria; Bacillati; Bacillota; Bacilli; Caryophanales; Staphylococcaceae.
ACAUGGGUGAUAAGGUCCGUGUUCGAAAGGGAAACAGCCCAGACCACCAGCUAAGGUCCCAAAAUAUAUGUUAAGUGGAAAAGGAUGUGGCGUUGCCCAGACAACUAGGAUGUUGGCUUAGAAGCAGCCAUCAUUUAAAGAGUGCGUAAUAGCUCACUAGUCGAGUGACACUGCGCCGAAAAUGUACCGGGGCUAAACAUAUUACCGAAGCUGUGGAUUGUCCUUUGGACAAUGGUAGGAGAGCGUUCUAAGGGCGUUGAAGCAUGAUCGUAAGGACAUGUGGAGCGCUUAGAAGUGAGAAUGCCGGUGUGAGUAGCGAAAGACGGGUGAGAAUCCCGUCCACCGAUUGACUAAGGUUUCCAGAGGAAGGCUCGUCCGCUCUGGGUUAGUCGGGUCCUAAGCUGAGGCCGACAGGCGUAGGCGAUGGAUAACAGGUUGAUAUUCCUGUACCAC